This 678-nucleotide ribosomal RNA is filed under the name Arthrobacter sp. RNAcentral describes it as "bacterial SSU rRNA". It matches the Rfam family "Bacterial small subunit ribosomal RNA", at positions 333 to 1019 of the family's 1533-position model. The record is from RNAcentral. Lineage: Bacteria; Bacillati; Actinomycetota; Actinomycetes; Micrococcales; Micrococcaceae.
UUACUCCUACGGGAGGCAGCAGUGGGGAAUAUUGCACAAUGGGCGGAAGCCUGAUGCAGCGACGCCGCGUGAGGGAUGACGGCCUUCGGGUUGUAAACCUCUUUCAGUAGGGAAGAAGCGAAAGUGACGGUACCUGCAGAAGAAGCGCCGGCUAACUACGUGCCAGCAGCCGCGGUAAUACGUAGGGCGCAAGCGUUAUCCGGAAUUAUUGGGCGUAAAGAGCUCGUAGGCGGUUUGUCGCGUCUGCCGUGAAAGUCCGGGGCUCAACUCCGGAUCUGCGGUGGGUACGGGCAGACUAGAGUGAUGUAGGGGAGACUGGAAUUCCUGGUGUAGCGGUGAAAUGCGCAGAUAUCAGGAGGAACACCGAUGGCGAAGGCAGGUCUCUGGGCAUUAACUGACGCUGAGGAGCGAAAGCAUGGGGAGCGAACAGGAUUAGAUACCCUGGUAGUCCAUGCCGUAAACGUUGGGCACUAGGUGUGGGGGACAUUCCACGUUUUCCGCGCCGUAGCUAACGCAUUAAGUGCCCCGCCUGGGGAGUACGGCCGCAAGGCUAAAACUCAAAGGAAUUGACGGGGGCCCGCACAAGCGGCGGAGCAUGCGGAUAUAAGUCGAUGCAACGCGAAGAACCUUACCAAGGCUUGACAUGAACCGGUAAGACCUGAAACCAGUCCCCCUCCA